RNAcentral lists this ribosomal RNA (2222 nucleotides) under Clostridioides difficile. Its description in RNAcentral is "bacterial LSU rRNA". It matches the Rfam family "Bacterial large subunit ribosomal RNA", at positions 14 to 2258 of the family's 2925-position model. Lineage: Bacteria; Bacillati; Bacillota; Clostridia; Peptostreptococcales; Peptostreptococcaceae. The record is from RNAcentral.
AGGGUGCAGGGCGGAUGCCUUGGCACUAGGAGCCGAUGAAGGACGUGAUAAGCUGCGAUAAGCUUCGGGGAGUUGCACGUAAACUUUGAUCCGAAGAUUUCCGAAUGAGGAAACUCACUUAGAGUAAUGUCUAAGUAUCAUUAAGUGAAUACAUAGCUUAAUGAGGGGAACUCAGGGAACUGAAACAUCUAAGUACCUGAAGGAAGAGAAAGAAAUUCGAUUCCGUAAGUAGCGGCGAGCGAACGCGGAUUAGCCCAAACCAAUAAAGUUUUCUUUAUUGGGGUUGCGGACAUAUCAUAACGAAGAGGUAUCGUAAUUGAAGAGGUUUGGAAAGACCCACCACAGAAGGUAAUAGUCCUGUAUGUUAAACGAGAAGACUUCAGAUAUGAUCCAGAGUACCACGGGACACGUGAAACCCUGUGGGAAGCAGGAGGGACCACCCUCCAAGGCUAAAUACUACCUAGUGACCGAUAGCGUAUAGUACCGUGAGGGAAAGGUGAAAAGAACCCCGGGAGGGGAGUGAAAUAGAACCUGAAACCCUGCACUUACAAGCUGUGGAAGCACAUUUCUUGUGUGACCGCGUACUUUUUGUAGAACGGGCCAACGAGUUACGUUAAGUAGCAAGGUUAAGCACUUAAGGUGCGGAGCCGUAGCGAAAGCGAGUUUUAACUGAGCGUUCAGUUACUUGACGUAGACCCGAAACCGGGCGACCUACCCAUGAGCAGGAUGAAGCGAAAGUAAAAUUUCGUGGAGGUCCGAACCCACGAGCGUUGAAAAGCUCGGGGAUGACUUGUGGGUAGCGGUGAAAUUCCAAUCGAGCCCGGAGAUAGCUGGUUCUCCCCGAAAUAGCUUUAGGGCUAGCCUCAAGGUGAGAGAUACGGAGGUAGAGCACUGAAUGUCCUAGGGGGUAUUGCACCUACCGAAGACUAUCAAACUCCGAAUGCCGUCAUCUUAUACUUGGGAGUCAGACUGUGGGUGAUAAGAUUCAUAGUCGAAAGGGCAACAGCCCAGAUCGUCAGCUAAGGUCCCUAAAUGUAAGUUAAGUGGUAAAGGAUGUGGGAUUGCACAGACAACCAGGAUGUUGGCUUAGAAGCAGCCACUCAUUCAAAGAGUGCGUAAUAGCUCACUGGUCGAGUGAUCCUGCGCCGAAGAUUUCCGGGGCUAAAACUUACUACCGAAGCUACGGCAUCAGUAAUGAUGGGUAGGGGAGCUUCCCAUACGGGUUGAAGCAUGACCGUAAGGACAUGUGGACAGUAUGGGAGUGAGAAUGUUGGCAUGAGUAGCGAGAUGUGGGUGAGAAUCCCACAGGCCGUAAACCCAAGGUUUCCAGGGGAAGGUUCGUCCGCCCUGGGUUAGUCGGGACCUAAGCUGAGGCCGAAAGGCGUAGGUGAUGGACAACAGGUUGAUAUUCCUGUACUACCGAUAACCGUUUGAGAGAAGGGAUGACACAGUAGGAUAAGCUAAGCACACUGUUGGUUAUGUGUGCCCAAGCAUUGAGGCAGUCAAAGUAGGCAAAUCCGCUUUGAUAAUGCUGGGAUGUGAUGGGGAGCGAAAUUUAGUAGCGAAGUAGCUGAUUUCACACUGUCAAGAAAAGUCUCUAUCGAGGUUAAAGGUACCCGUACCGCAAACCGACACAGGUGGGUGAGGAGAGUAUCCUAAGGCCAGCGAGAGAACUGUUGUUAAGGAACUCGGCAAAAUGACCCCGUAACUUAGGGAUAAGGGGUGCCACCAUCAGGUGGCCGCAGAGAAUAGGCCCAAGCGACUGUUUACCAAAAACAUAGGUUUCUGCUAAGUCGCAAGACGAUGUAUAGGAGCUGACGCCUGCCCGGUGCUGGAAGGUUAAGGGGAUCUGUUAGAGCAAUCGAAGCAGUGAACUUAAGCCCCAGUAAACGGCGGCCGUAACUAUAACGGUCCUAAGGUAGCGAAAUUCCUUGUCGGGUAAGUUCCGACCCGCACGAAAGGCGUAACGAUUUGGGCACUGUCUCAACAACAGACUCGGUGAAAUUGUAAUUCCGGUGAAGAUGCCGGAUACCUGCGACAGGACGGAAAGACCCCAUGGAGCUUUACUGUAGCUUGACAUUGGGUCUUGGUACUACAUGUACAGGAUAGGUGGGAGGCUUUGAAACCAGGACGCCAGUUUUGGCGGAGCCAUCCUUGGGAUACCACCCUUGUAGUACUGGGACUCUAACCAUAGGCCAUGAAUCUGGUCUUGGGACACUGUC